GAUGAACGCUGGCGGCGUGCCUAAUACAUGCAAGUCGAGCGAACUUUUGAGAACUUUCUCCCACAAGUGAUCGGCGGGCGGGUGAGUGAAACGCGUGGAAACUCCCUGUAAGACUGGGAGAAAUCCGGGAAAACGGGGCGAAAACAGGAGAUCAUAUUAUACAACAUAUCCUUCAAUUAAAAAAGGGCGUUUAGCUGCCACUUAUAGAUGGACCCGCGCCGCAUUAGCUAGUUGGUAAGGUAACGGCUCACCAAGGCGACGAUGCAUAGCCGACCUGAGAGGGUGAUCCGCCAAAACGGGAAUGGGGACCGGCCCAGAAUCCUACCGGAGGGAGGAGGAGGGAAGCUUCCGCAAAUGACGAAAGGCUGGCGGGGCAAAGCCCCGUGGGCGAAGAAGGGCUUCGGGUUGUAAAGCUCUGUUGUUAGGGAAGAACAAGUAUCGUAAGAAUAGGGCGGUACCUUGACGGUACCUAACCAGAAAGCCACGGCUAACUACGUG
Molecule: ribosomal RNA, 498 nt
Filed under: uncultured bacterium
Lineage: Bacteria
Description: partial 16S ribosomal RNA
Rfam family: Bacterial small subunit ribosomal RNA
Source: RNAcentral